UUAAACACCACUGUAUGACAGUUCACAAUCAGCACAGGACACCCUGCUCUUGAGAACAGGCAUCAAAACAUCAGGUCAGGAGAUCAUCUUCUCAGAAUGGGUUGCAGUGGGAGUUUUACAGUGUGGGCUGUGUUUCUAUCAGUCAGAACCAGUACUGGCCCAUAACAAUUGUUUUAGAUACAGAACACGUCCCAGUUUGAAGCCCCUCAGGAAUUCUUCCAUGAACAUCUCUGGGCAAACAAUGAACAUCUCAUCCUUUCCUCUGCUCUAGAAGUUCACAAUGUCACUUCCUUGAUCCCUGAAAGACUCCAAGAACAAUUUACCGUUCUCUUGUUUUUUACAACAGUGAACUGCUUGUAUUCAGUGAAGUCCCUUCUCGUCACAGUUUUGAAGAAACGCAAUAUUUAAAAAAGUGAUCACUUUACUCUUCGCAAGUUGCUUUAUUGGAAACCUGUUACUAUUGAAAAUGUCAGAUACAAAAGAGGGCUUUAGCAUUGUAAAAAUGUCUAUUUGUGUUUGGUGUAUAUUGAACAUAAAACAAAACAUCACUGCCAAAAUUCAAGAAAUGUAUAAAGUACCUUAACGGGUAUGCUAAAGUUAUCCUUAAUCAGCAUGACAUAAGAAAAUUAAUUAUGCAGAGUAACAUUUGUCAACAGUAGUAGGGAGAAGCUCAGAACUACAAGUCUUAGUGACUAUUUCUGUUAUUUACAGAAGAGAGACACUGAGGGUUUCUGAACUAUAUUAUAUCAGUGUGACUUUAAACGCCUGUAUCAGUGCAGGAGUCUGUAUCCGUGUUACUGACUCUUUCUGUUUCUUACAGGGGAGAAGACGCAGUGGGAAUCUAAAUGUAAAACCUUAGUGCUUCUUAGACACCUGGGAGCCGGGGGGAACAUUCCUACUCAAGCUGAUGUGACACUGGACCCUGGUACAGCUCAUAUUGCACUCACCCUGUCCGAGGAUGGCAAGAGAGUGAGACUGGGAAAGGAGCAGGAUCUCUCUGACAACGCCCAGAGAUUUAAUUACUGGCUCUGUGUCGUGAGCAGGGAGGCCUUCUCCUCAGGGAGACACUACUGGGAGGUGGAGGUGAAUGACGACUGGUCAAUAGGAGUGAGCAGAGAGUCUGCAGAGAGGAAAGGGGGGUUCAGCUUUGAUCCCCAAGGGGGAUACUGGGCUCUGUAUUCCGGCUAUUCUGGUUUCUCUGCUCUCACUGACCCUGUGACCCGUCUCCCCCUCAGUCUGCAGCCCAGGACAGUGGGUGUGUGUGUGGAUAUUGAGGAGAGGAAGGUCUCCUUUUACGCAGUGGAGUCCAGGGUUCACAUCUUCACGUUCACUGACAUGGUCCUCAAUCAGGGGGAGAAGAUCUAUCCUGUCUUCAGGACCCGUGAUCGUUGUAAAGACCUUGUGCUGCUGCCUCCUGUCCGCUGUGGAGAUUAAACACGUCACUGACUCACGAAGACAAUUCAUGGACAUCUUUGUGGGAGUACCGAUGGAAUCACAGCUUUAUGAAUAUGGAGAGACUCUACCAUCAAGGGCAGUUUCCUGGGGGUGGGGGUGAUGGAUUGGGACAGGUUGGAAGAUGUCUAGCCAUGAAAGGCUCUGCCCUGGUUUGCCAACUGUACAUGUUAAUAAACAGGUAGAUCUGGUCAGUAGGGCAGUGGAAUGAGGCUACUCCAAUUCUUACUAAAGACCUGGGUAAGAAAGGUCAGCAUCGAAGGGCAAGGUUGUCUCCACUUUUCUAUCGGCCCACGAGCCCUGAGAAGCAGCUUGUGACCAGUACCAGGGUGAAUAAUUUCAGCUGGCUCUCCUGCAGCACUGUCCUACUCGGCCUGUUGUAUUGGAGCAGCUCAGGUCUCAAUCUGCCCUGGGUGCCAGCUUUUCUGCGGUGUUUGUGGCUCACCCUGAAUUGGUCUUGGGUCUUGGAGCUGAAAAAACAGGUUUGCAUUUUGUACAUGGUUGGGAGGGAAUAGUUUUCAUUCUGCGAGCCGAUUUAGUUUUUUCCUCUGCGAAAGAGUUUAACAGACAAGUUAGCAGUUAGCUGGGUACGGAUAGGGCACGUUCAGACUCGUGAGACGUGAAUAAUGAGUGUGCUCCAUUCCUCAUGUUUCUAAUAGGACCGUCUGGUUUUAUGAUAAAUAUUUUGUUAUGAUGUUGAUACGAUAAUUAUUUUGUUAAUAAAUUAUUUUUAUAAGGUUGGUACCACUAACAUAAAACUACUUUUGUGUUUUGAAUUUAGUUUUUUAUUCCUGAGAAACUUUUCAGGGUUUUAGACCGCUGUUAAUGAAAUGUGUUAAGUACCUUUGUUAAAGCGAUAUUCCUCAACUGGGUACUGCAGUCUCAAUUUCACAGACUGGUUAUUAAAUCUCGGUAAUAAAAUAAAUUA
Molecule: non-coding RNA, 2380 nt
Organism: Lepisosteus oculatus (spotted gar)
Lineage: Eukaryota; Metazoa; Chordata; Actinopteri; Semionotiformes; Lepisosteidae
Source: RefSeq, a predicted model, not a curated record